Molecule: non-coding RNA, 5840 nt
Organism: Rattus norvegicus (Norway rat)
Lineage: Eukaryota; Metazoa; Chordata; Mammalia; Rodentia; Muridae
Source: RefSeq, a predicted model, not a curated record
CCCGAGGGGCUUAGGUGUGCCCUGUGGCCUAGGUGUGCCGUGGGGCCUACAUGUGCCGUGAGGCCUAGUUGUGCCGAGGGUCCUAGUGAAAGACCCCAGCUUAGCAGCAGCAACGCCAUUUUGCAAGGCUAUAUUUAAGAUGACUGGUUCAGAGAAAGGUUAGAACACUGAGUACACAGCGGCUGCCAAACAAGAUGUGUUUGGUUGAAGGCCUGGCAACAGGAGGACUGCCGUUGAGCACCUGACAAUGAGAAAAGCCCCGGGAGAGGUCCCACACCCUGGUGGGGGGCCGAGUCAGCCGUUAUGUUCCAAGAAGGUAGCUAAGAAACUUGCCCCCGGGCUAAACUCUUGGGGGGCCGAGUCAGCCGUUAUGUUUCAGGAAGGUAGCUAAGAAACUUGCCCCCGGGCUGAACCCUUGGGGGGCCGAGUCAGCCGUUAUGUUUCUGGAAGGUAGCUAGGAAACUUGCCCCCGGGCUAAACCCUUGCCAUAUUAGAAUCCACAAAUUAUAUCCCUGUAACCAUGCAUCUGCUUCUGUAUGCUUGCUUCUGCUCCCCAAAAUCCUAUAAAAGCCCAUCCUUGGUUCCGUGGGGCGCGCCAGUCCCCCGAGUGACUGAAGCGCCCGCAGGUGCCUGUGCCUGUGUAUCCCGACAAUAAACCAAAUCCUCUUGCUGAUUGCAUCCUGUGGUGUCUCGGUCUGGUCUUUGGAGUUAGAAGAUCUCCAUCCCAAGGGAAAGUUCUCCCUGAGAGCUUUUCAUUUGGUGCAUUGGCCGGGAAAGGAGAUCCUCCACCCAGGGACCACCGACCACCCACUGGGAGGUAAGCCGGCCGGCGUCUGUCUGAUUCUGUCUCGUUCUGCCUUAUUCUGUCUGUUCUGUGAGCGCUCAGCCAGGUCUGUUCUGUGAGCGCUCAGCCAGGUUGUUUGGAAUUUGGGCGGGACGAAGAAGGAGCUGACGAGCUCGGACUUCUCGCCCCGCAGCCCUGGAAGACGUUCCAAGGGUGUUAGGGGCCUGACUUUUCGGGGCCCAAUCUGGGAGGAGAAAGAUCCGGACUAACGGCAUCUCUGUCUGUAUUUUUGGCUUUCAGAGGGCCCCGGACCUUUGCCACCUCCAUCUGACUUUUUGCUUUCAGUUUGGUACCAAAGCCGUGCAACACGCCUGUCUGUUGUUUGUUUGACUGUUGGUGUUGUUUGUUUUCUCUGUGUUCUAAUCUUCCUUAGAACUAACAUGGGACAGUCCCUAACAACGCCCCUAAGUCUCACUCUUGAUCAUUAGAAAGACGUCCACGACCGGGUACACAACCAGUCCAUCGAGGUUAAAAAAGGAAAAUGACAGACUCUCUACACAUCCGAGUGGCCCACUUUCGGAGCGGGAUGGCCAGUGAAUGGCACAUUUAAUAAGAUCAUUAUUUUACAGGUUAAAGAUCGGGUCGUCCACGGACAUCCUGACCAGGUUUCUUAUAUUAUCACUUGAGAGAGUCUCGCCUUAACCCCCCCCCCCGGGCGGAACCCUUCGUGGACCCGAAUUGGCCUCCCCUCAACCCCCAGCCUGUCCCCUUGGCCCCGCCCGGUCCGCCGGCCACGUCUUCCUCUCUCUACCUUUGUGAAAUCAGAGCCUUCUAAGAAACCUGUCCUCCCGGCAGACCCAAACUCCCCUCUCAUAGAUCUUCUCUCUGACAGGCCCGGCUGAAACGGAGGAGGCAGAGCCGCCGGCCAGAUCAGUUGCCGGGCCACAGUCUGAUAAGGGUUUCUCCCCUGUCGCAGGGAGAUUGCGCAAUAAGCUCGAGGUGAUGCCAGAUUCAACCUCCCAGGCUUUCCCACUUAGACAGGGAACCGGUGGCCAGACCCAAUACUGGCCGUUUUCAACAGCUGACAUUUACAAUUGGAAACAACACAACCCUUCUUUCUCCAAAGAUCCGGUGGCACUCACUGACCUAAUAGAAUCUGUUUUACUUACCCACCAGCCUACUUGGGAUGACUGCCAACAGCUCUUACAGGCCCUCUUAACCUCAAGAAAAAAAAAAAAAAAACAAAGAGUGUUCCUAGAGGCCAAAAAACAUGUUCUGGGAGAUGAUGGGCGUCCCACCCAGCUGCCUGAGGACCAAACUGGGAUUUUAAUACAGCUGAAGGUAAGGGACACCUACGCCUUUAUCGCCAGUUGCUUCUAGCGGGUCUCCGAGGGGCUAUACGACGCCCUACUAAUUUGGCUCAGGUAAAACAGGUAUUACAGGAAGCAGGGGAAACUCCCUCCACCUUUCUAGAGAGACUUAAGGAGGCCUACCGUAUGUACACUCCCUAUGACCCAGAUGACCCAGGACAAAUGACGAGUGUCUCUAUGUCCUUCAUCUGGCAGGCUGCUCCAGAUAUCAGGACUAAGUUACAGAGGUUAGAAAAUUUGCAGGGCUAUACAUUACAGGAUUUACUUAAAGAAGCUGAAAAGAUUUUUAAUAAGAGAGAGAUAAAAAAAAAAACAAACAAACAAUUGAGUCAAAUCUUGGCCACCGUAGUACAGGGCCAAGAAAGGAAGGGAGAUAGGGGGGAGCUCGAAAGGGGCUGAAGCUGGAUAAAGAUCAAUGUGCCUAUUACAAAGAGAAAGGGCACUGGGACAGAGAGUGCCCCAAGAAGCCUGGCGGACCCCGAAAGCCUCGACCACGAACCUCCCUCUUGGCUCUAGAUAAAGAUUAGGGAGGUCAGGGCCAGGAGCCCCCCCCUGAGCCCAGGGUAACGCUUAAAGUUGGGGGGCAGCCGGUUACUUUCCUGGUAGACACAGGAGCCCAGCAUUCAGUCCUCACCCAAGCUUCAGGACAACUCAGCGACCGGACGGCCUGGGUACAAACAGCUACUGGUGAGAAACAAUACCGAUGGACUACGGACCGCCGGGUUCAGCUGGCUACCGGUAAGGUGACCCAUUCCUUCUUACAUGUUCCGGACUGCCUGUACCCUCUGCUGGGCCGUGACCUGCUCACCAAACUAAAAGCACAAAUUCAUUUUGAGGAAAGAGGGGCCCGAAUAACUGGCCCCCACGGAACUCCCCUUCAAGUUCUAUGAAUAUAGACUAUAUGAACUGGGACAGGACAAGCCACAAUCCCUAGAAAUAGACACUUGGGUCACGAAUUUUCCACUGGCUUGGGCAGAGACUGGUGAGUUGGGGUUGGCGCUCCAACAGCCCCCCUUAAUUAUACAGUUAAAGGCCACUACAACUCCAGUCUCCAUAAAACAAUACCCCCUGUCACAUGAAGCUUAUCAAGGUAUAAGGCCUCACAUUACGAGGCUUCUAGAUCAAGGCAUCCUAAUCCCCUGCCGGUCGCCUUAGAAUACGCCUCUUCUGCCUGUUAAGAAACCCGGCACUGGAGAUUAUAGGCCAGUACAAGACUUGAGAGAGGUCAACAAGAGGAUAAAAGAUAUUCAUCCGACUGUUCCAAACCCUUACAAUUUGCUCAGUAACUGUUCAUCGAUGAGAAACAGGGGUAUGCUAAAGGGGUCCUAACACAAAGGUUGGGACCCUGGAAACGCCCUGUGGCCUACCUGUCUAAGAAAUUGGACCCUGUGGCCUCCGGCUGGCCACCGUGCCUAAAGAUGGUGGCUGCUAUUGCUGUCCUGAUCAAGGAUGCUGAAAAAUUGACUUUGGGACAGCCACUCACCAUCCUAGCACCCCACACAGUGGAGGCCUUGGUAAAGCAGCCCCCAGACCGCUGGCUCUCUAAUUCUCGUACCAAGCCUUGUUAACUGGAUGCAGAACGGGUUCAGUUUGGGCCCGUAGUCGCCCUCAAUCCUGCCACCUUGCUUCCUCUACCAGAGGAGGCAGAACAACAUGACUGCCUACAAAUCCUCGCAGAAGUACCACACAUGGUACACGGAUGACAACAGCUUCUUGGCAGAGGGAGAGCGAAAGGCUGGAGCUGCGGUCACUACAGAAGACAAAGUGAUUUGGGCGAAAGCCCUGCCUGCUGGUACCUCCGCACAACGGGCUGAACUCAUCGCCUUGGCUCAGGCGCUCAAGAUGACAAAAGGUAAGAGGCUAAAUAUAUAUAUAUACAGACAGCCGUUAUGCCUUUGCCACGGCACACAUCCACGGGGAGAUCUACUGGAGGCGGGGGCUGCUCACAUCUGAGGGUAAAGAUAUGGCUAAAAUUCUGGCCCUCUUAGAAGCCCUAUUCUUGCCCAAAAGACUGAGUAUUAUACAUUGUCCAGGACACCAAAAAGGGCACAACCCAGAGGCACGAAGAAACCAGCUGGCCGAUGCCACGGCUCGAGAAGCGGCCAUGAGCAAACAAAUCUUGCCCUUAAAUAGCCCAGACCAACCCACGCCCCCACCAGUGGGACAAACCAGUUGGGUUUAUGCCCAUGAGGACAUAGAGCUCCUAAAAAAAUGGGGGCCAUCUACCACCCUCAACUAAAACAGUGGGUCUACAAAGGACUUUUGAAUUGAUCUCCUUUUUACAUAAAAAGAUAAAAACCUUACUAGAUCGAGAAGAGAUAAAUCUGUGUUUUUUUUUUAAAUUGGGACAAAGCGAUACAAAAGGUGACUAAAAGUUACAAAGCGUGCGCUCAGGUUAACCCGGAAAGGACCAUGAUUGGACAAGGAGUUCGUCCUAGGGGACACCGUCCCGACAUCCAUUGGGAAAUUGAUUUUACUGAAAUUAAACCAGGUAUAUAUAGAUACAAGUAUCUCCUAGUGUUUAUAGACACCUUCUCAGGAUGGGUCAAAGCCUUCCCCACGAAGCACGAGACUACAAAAAUGGUCACCAAGAAGCUCCUCGAGGAAAUCUUUCCCAGCCCUUCUCUGAGGGCCCAUUUACAGGCCCUACAGAUUGUACAGAGAGACGUCUGGAGACCUUUGGCCGCUGCUUACCAGGACAAGCUUGAACAUCCGGUGGUGCCACACCCGUUCCAGAUUAGAGACACCGUGUGGGUGCACAGACACCAGACCAAAAAUCUUGAGCCACGGUGAAAAAGACCCUACACCGUCCUCCUGACUACCCCGACCGCCCUAAAGAUAGACGGAGUCUCGGCUUAGAUCCACGCACCACACGUCAAGGCAGUCCGGUCUGAGGAAUUGACUAAUCACAACACUACACCCCAGACAUGGAGAGUUCAGCGCACUCCAAACCCCUUAAAGUUAAAACUCCUACGUGGCUCCUCCUAGCCCUUUUGUGGCCUAGAGUCAGUGGGGAAAUAAGCCCCCACCAGACAGAAAUUUCUUGACCAAGUCGAGUGAAAGAUUUCACUCAAAGUUAACAAAAAAAAAAUGGGGGAAUGAAAGACCCCAGCUUAGCAGCAGUAACGCCAUUUUGCAAGGCUAUAUUUAAGAUGACUGGUUCAGAGAAAGGUUAGAACACUGAGUACACAGCGGCUGCCAAACAAGAUGUGUUUGGUUGAAGGCCUGGCAACAGGAGGACUGCCGUUGAGCACCUGACAAUGAGAAAAGCCCCGGGAGAGGUCCCACACCCUGGUGGGGGGCCGAGUCAGCCGUUAUGUUCCAAGAAGGUAGCUAAGAAACUUGCCCCCGGGCUAAACUCUUGGGGGGCCGAGUCAGCCGUUAUGUUUCAGGAAGGUAGCUAAGAAACUUGCCCCCGGGCUGAACCCUUGGGGGGCCGAGUCAGCCGUUAUGUUUCUGGAAGGUAGCUAGGAAACUUGCCCCCGGGCUAAACCCUUGCCAUAUUAGAAUCCACCAAUUAUAUCCCUGUAACCAUGCAUCUGCUUCUGUAUGCUUGCUUCUGCUCCCCAAAAUCCUAUAAAAGCCCAUCCUUGGUUCCGUGGGGCGCGCCAGUCCCCCGAGUGACUGAAGCGCCCGCAGGUGCCUGUGCCUGUGUAUCCCGACAAUAAACCAAAUCCUCUUGCUGA